CACAGACGUGCGUGACAUUUGGUGCCGAAACACGGCACAGGAGGACUCCUUCAGGAGGCCAGCCCCUGUCCUCGCCCUCACUCCAUGAGGAGAUCCACCUAUGACCUCGGGUCCUCAGACCAAGCAGCCCAAGGAACAUCUCACCAAUUUCAAAUCGUGAAUGUCAGGCCUCUGAUCCCAAGCUAAGCCGUCAUAUCCCCUGUGACCUGCACGUAUACAUCCAGAUGGCCUGAAGCAACUGAAGAUCCACAAAAGAAGGGAAAAUAGCCUUAACUGAUGACAUUCCACCACUGUGAUUUGUUCCUGCCCCACCCUAACUGAUAAGAUAUAGUCUCCCCAACCCUUAAAAAGGUACUUCGUAAUAUUCUCCCCCACCCUUAAGAAUGUACUUUGUACGCCUAUCCCAAACCUAUAGAACUAAUGAUAAUCCCACCACCCUUUGCUGACUCCUUUUUUGGACUCAGGCCACCUGCACCCAGGUGAAAUAAACAGCCUUGUUGCUCACACAAAGCCUGUUGGUGGUCUCUUCACAC
Molecule: long non-coding RNA, 533 nt
Filed under: Homo sapiens (human)
Lineage: Eukaryota; Metazoa; Chordata; Mammalia; Primates; Hominidae
Description: HSALNT0130087
Source: RNAcentral